Molecule: long non-coding RNA, 1524 nt
Filed under: Equus caballus (horse)
Lineage: Eukaryota; Metazoa; Chordata; Mammalia; Perissodactyla; Equidae
Description: lncRNA (ENSECAG00000046211.1)
Source: RNAcentral
UGAAGAGUACUUAAAAGAUCCCAUUGAAUACAUAUGGCAUUAUUCCUGGUUUUAUGGAUACUGUCUCAGUUAAAUGAAUCCUGCAGAAAACACUUAGCGAUUAAUUUAUCUAGAAACUGAUAGCACUAAAAAUAUUAAAAUUAAUGCAUUCUAAUGGUUUAUGUGUGUGUGCAUGUGUGAUUUCUGCUUUGCCUACUUUACUAUCUUAAUGAUUAUCCUUUCUUACUGUUUCCUCUGAUGAUCUUACCUUACUUCAACAGACCUAAUCACUCAAAGCUUUUCUUGUCAGCCCUUUUCACACAUCGUAUUCUAGUUUUCACAUAUUUUCAAUAAUGCCUUUUAUUUUGGACAAGGGCUUUGGCAAAAAAACUAAAGUACACUAAAGUAAAGCUGUACUCUGUCCCAAUGCUACUCACAACCUGCCAGAACUUUCAUGCUUCAAAUCACAGGCUAGGGACAUUGGCUUGUCAGGAGUCCCCCUCCAUGCUCCUGUGAUGAGCUGGAGCUUCCAGGUGCUUCUGCUACAAGGCGAGGUGUAGGUACAAUUUAUUCUGCCUAUUAUUGUGCACUGACUAUGAAAUUUAAUUGUCCUUUUCUUGUUUCAGCUAGCAAAGGAUGUAAAAAUUCCAAAUAGAUUUUCAUCAAAAUCAGAAGUAUUUAUUACCUAUGAACAACUUCAAAUAUUUUCAGUCCUUCCUAUUCAGCUACCCAACAUUUCAAUCUCCCUUCUUAAUUAGUACCCGGUUUCCUUUCUUCAUUAAUACCUUAUCCUUUAAAGCUCAGUUACACAUUUACAGUCUCUCUUGCUUGUUUACUUUGAGGCAUUUCUGUAGAUGUAGCUCACUACUGUUUAUGUUUACUAGAAUGACAGCCACAGAGCACAAUGGGAGUUGACUUCCUAAAAUAGUUUAAUGUCUUACUGUCCUAAAAAUAUGAUUUUAAGAUAAAACUUAUUUUUGAACCUUAACUUUGAGUAAAUAUUAUGAAGGAAAAAAUGAAUUCUUAAAAGAUUUGAUUCUACAUGCUACUUAAAUGAGAAAAUUUUCUGAAAUUCAAACAUAGCAAGCUCCAUUUGCUCAGCGAUGAGGUCCUUGCACAAAGUUCCCCAAGGCCUUUUUGGUGUACAAAUUUAUAAUAAUGAAAACUACGUCUAAGGAAAUAAUUUGACAUAAAAGUUUGUUUUCUCUUUAAACUACUGCAUUUAAAAAGUCAUUCGAGUUGUAAACACUCAAGGAUAAGCCAGUUUUAGGAUCACAUUAUUGUGUCACAGUAACAGAAAUAUGAAUCACAUUUAUUUCUUUAAUGCAUGGAUUUAGGUUCUCCUAAAUUCUCAUUAUUGAGCUACUACACUCUUGCUAUAAGUUGUUAGGAAAAUCCAAAUCGUCAUUCCCGGCACCAAGGUGCCAAGAAAUAAUGUGCUAUCAUGAAAUCACACAUAGUCAGCUGCUUAUGUAUUUUGGUUAACCAGGUAGUUUGAAAAUUAUUAUUCCACUAGCACUGUCUUCAGAUUUUAGAAGCAGAACU